AGAGUUUGAUUAUGGCUCAGGAUGAACGCUGGCGGCGUGCCUAAUACAUGCAAGUCGAACGAGGAGCCAUUGUAUUCGUACGGUGGAUUUCCUAGUGGCGAACGGGUGAGUAACGCGUUGGUGACCUGCCCCGAAGAGAGGAAUAACAGUUCGAAAGGACUGCUAAUACCUCAUGUGGUCACAGAGGUUAGAGGCUCUGUGUCCAAAUGGAGCAAUCCGCUUCGGGAGGGACCUGCGUCCCAUCAGCUAGUUGGUAGGGUAAUGGCCUACCAAGGCGACGACGGGUAGGGGACCUGAGAGGGUGACCCCCCACACUGGCACUGAAACACGGGCCAGACACCUACGGGUGGCAGCAGUAGGGAAUAUUGCACAAUGGGCGAAAGCCUGAUGCAGCAACGCCGCGUGCACGAUGAAGGCCUUCGGGUUGUAAAGUGCUUUUCGGGGAGAUGAGGAAGGACAGUAUCCCCGGAAUAAGGAUCGGCUAACUACGUGUCAGCAGCCGCGGUAAAACGUAGGAUCCGAGCGUUAUCCGAAUUUACUGGGCGUAAAGCGCGUGUAGGCGGUUUGGUAAGUUGGAUGUGAAAGCUCCCGGCUCAACUGGGAGAGGUCGUUCAAUACUGCCAGACUAGAGGAUGGUAGAGGGAGGUGGAAUUCCCGGUGUAGUGGUGAAAUGCGUAGAUAUCGGGAGGAACACCAGUGGCGAAGGCGGCCUCCUGGGCCAUUCCUGACGCUCAGACGCGAAAGCUAGGGGAGCAAACGGGAUUAGAAACCCCGGUAGUCCUAGCCGUAAACGAUGUGGACUUGGCGUUGGUGGGGUAAAAGCCAUCAGUGCCGUA
This 836-nucleotide ribosomal RNA is filed under the name uncultured Chloroflexota bacterium. RNAcentral's name for it is "bacterial SSU rRNA". It matches the Rfam family "Bacterial small subunit ribosomal RNA", at positions 8 to 850 of the family's 1533-position model. The record is from RNAcentral. Lineage: Bacteria; Bacillati; Chloroflexota.